Fragaria vesca subsp. vesca is the source of this 867-nucleotide RNA transcript. RefSeq lists it as uncharacterized. The record is from RefSeq and is a predicted model, not a curated record. NCBI's taxonomy places the organism in Eukaryota, Viridiplantae, Streptophyta, Magnoliopsida, Rosales, Rosaceae. The transcript has 2 exons.
UUUGAUGUCACCCUCAAAGGGGUGUCCUUUUAUAUGGCCCUCCUGGAUGCGAUAAACUCUGAUCUUGUGGCCAAUGCUAUCGCCAAUGAUUAUUGGCCAAACUUCAUCAUUAUUGAAGGACUUGAAUAGCCCGGGAUGUGGUUUGUUCAUGUGUCCGCCUCUUUAAUGAGCUUGAUGCCACUGGUAUGUAGGUGAUUUGUAGGUGCUGACAGGGUUUUGAACCAACAAUUACAAAACCGGAUGGAGUGUCUGCCAAGAAAAGUAUUUUCAUUAUCGGUGCCACCGACAGAGCUGACCUUAUAGAACCUGCACUUCUAUGUCCCAGCACAUCUGUCCCCAAUGAGGAAUCAAAUUCUAAUAUUCAAGGCUUGUUUGAGGAAAUCACAUGUUUCCAAAUAUGUGAACAUUAGAGCAAUGUUCAACUGUCUACUUGCACAAGGGUUUUGUGGUGCUGGUAUUAAAAAAUAUGCCAUGAUGCCUGGAUUGUUGAUGAUUCUGAUAUCCUCAAAUAUCAUGCGGCGCAGACAUGGCACCUCUAGAUCAGAUGCAUACUUAUCAUCGUGUUUUGGUUUAUUGCUGGUUCUGCUGGGCUGAUUGGUUUUGUGGUUUGUGGAUUGCAUGUUGCUGAUGCCUCGGCUGCUACAGAGGAAGUAUCUGCUUUUUCUUUGCAGAAUUUGGUGUUGAAUCCACAUUUAAUUGCUUUUUCUUCGCAGAAUUCGUUGUUGAAUCCACAUUUAACUUUGUCAAAGUAUACUAAAAUCCUAGAAUAAAGGACACAAAAGAGAUUAUAAAACAAAGAUUAUGAUGUCCCUUUACUUUUUCUUUACUUUGGUAAGUAUGUUGUUAUGAGUUCUAUUGAAAUUAACG